UCUGAUAUGGUGUAACGGCCAACAUUGCCGCCUUUCACACGGCAGCUCUGGGCUCGAUUCCCGGUAUCAGAA
Molecule: transfer RNA, 72 nt
Filed under: Flammulina velutipes KACC42780
Lineage: Eukaryota; Fungi; Basidiomycota; Agaricomycetes; Agaricales; Physalacriaceae
Description: tRNA-Glu (TTC) (tRNA-Glu-TTC-3-1)
Rfam family: tRNA
About the family: Transfer RNA (tRNA) molecules are approximately 80 nucleotides in length. Their secondary structure includes four short double-helical elements and three loops (D, anti-codon, and T loops).
Source: RNAcentral